Small nucleolar RNA from Vicia villosa (hairy vetch), 107 nucleotides. NCBI's taxonomy places the organism in Eukaryota, Viridiplantae, Streptophyta, Magnoliopsida, Fabales, Fabaceae. The record is from RefSeq and is a predicted model, not a curated record.
AUACCAUCAUUAGGACAUUUAGUUAACAACUCUUUGAAUCUUUCCCAAUCUUCAAACAAAUACUCAUUAUCUUCUUGUCUAAAUAAAGUAAUCUCAUUCCUUAUCUC